UGGGGAAUUUUGGACAAUGGGGGAAACCCUGAUCCAGCCAUCCCGCGUGUGCGAUGAAGGCCUUCGGGUUGUAAAGCACUUUUGGCAGGAAAGAAACGUCAUGGGUUAAUACCCCGUGAAACUGACGGUACCUGCAGAAUAAGCACCGGCUAACUACGUGCCAGCAGCCGCGGUAAUACGUAGGGUGCAAGCGUUAAUCGGAAUUACUGGGCGUAAAGCGUGCGCAGGCGGUUCGGAAAGAAAGAUGUGAAAUCCCAGAGCUCAACUUUGGAACUGCAUUUUUAACUACCGGGCUAGAGUGUGUCAGAGGGAGGUGGAAUUCCGCGUGUAGCAGUGAAAUGCGUAGAUAUGCGGAGGAACACCGAUGGCGGAGGCAGCCUCCUGGGAUAACACUGACGCUCAUGCAAGAAAGCGUGGGGAGCAAACAGG
RNAcentral lists this ribosomal RNA (429 nucleotides) under Acidobacteriota bacterium. RNAcentral's name for it is "Acidobacteria bacterium partial 16S ribosomal RNA". It matches the Rfam family "Bacterial small subunit ribosomal RNA", at positions 355 to 776 of the family's 1533-position model. The record is from RNAcentral. Lineage: Bacteria; Pseudomonadati; Acidobacteriota.